Molecule: long non-coding RNA, 404 nt
Filed under: Danio rerio (zebrafish)
Lineage: Eukaryota; Metazoa; Chordata; Actinopteri; Cypriniformes; Danionidae
Description: si:ch73-383o19.2 (ENSDARG00000095396.4)
Source: RNAcentral
UUUGAUUUCAUUGUCGUGUAAAAGGUCGAGCUGCUUACGACAUUUGACGUUUAUUUCAUAUUUGGGAAGAUGCAAAGAGGUUGCUGGUUCGAGCCUCGGCUGGGUCAGUUGGCGUUUCUGUGUGGAAUUUGCAUGUUCUUCCCGUGUUGGCGUGGGUUUCCUCCGGGUGCUCCAGUUUCCCCCACAGUCCAAAGACAUGUGCUGUAGAUGAAUUGGCAACACGUGUUUUCCUGAGGAAGAAAUAAGAGAAUGUCUCCAUUUCAAGCGGAUGACCUUCCAGCUGCAACCAAUCACUGCGAAAUCUGGACAAUGUUGUGAAGUUUUCCAUUGCUGUUGCUUGUGGUGUAAAAACACUUGUUGGAUUUAUCUAAGAUUCUUCAAUAAACUGCUCUUUAUCAUCAUGA